AGCCGCGGUAAUACGUAUGUCGCAAGCGUUAUCCGGAAUUAUUGGGCAUAAAGGGCAUCUAGGCGGUUUGGUAAGUUCGAUGUGAAAAUGCGGGGCUCAACUCCGUAUUGCGUUGAAAACUGCCAGACUAGAGUUUUGGAGAGGUAGGCGGAACUACAAGUGUAGAGGUGAAAUUCGUAGAGAUUUGUAGGAAUGCCGAUGACGAAGGUAGCUUACUGGACAAAUACUGACGCUGAAGUGCGAAAGCUAGGGGAGCAAACAGGAUUAGAUACCCUGGUAGUCCUAGCUGUAAACGAUGAUCACUGGGUGUGGGGGGUCGAACCCCUGUGCCGAAGUUAAUGCGAUAAGUGAUCCGCCUGGGGAGUACGUUCGCAAGAAUGAAACUCAAAGGAAUUGACGGGGACCCGCACAAGUGGUGGAGCAUGUGGUUUAAUUCGACGCAACGCGAGGAACCUUACCAGUUCUUGACAUCCUCUAAACAUUCUGGAGACAGAGUGGUGCUCCUUCGGGAGAAUAGAGUGACAGGUGGUGCAUGGCC
RNAcentral lists this ribosomal RNA (538 nucleotides) under uncultured archaeon. RNAcentral describes it as "bacterial SSU rRNA". It matches the Rfam family "Bacterial small subunit ribosomal RNA", at positions 513 to 1050 of the family's 1533-position model. The record is from RNAcentral.